This is a long non-coding RNA of Triticum dicoccoides, 1519 nucleotides long. RefSeq lists it as uncharacterized. Lineage: Eukaryota; Viridiplantae; Streptophyta; Magnoliopsida; Poales; Poaceae. The transcript has 5 exons. The record is from RefSeq and is a predicted model, not a curated record.
CAGUCUGCGGUCCCUGAUUCAUCUUAUCCAAAACUCCUCCCUUUCCAGCGACGGCAGCGACGGCGGAGCACGAGCAGGUGAGGGGCGGCGCCUUCGUCGGACGGCUACAGCCGCGGCGGAGGAGAAGGCGGACGCCAUGGGUGCGGCUACGGACGAGGCGGAGGAGAAGGCGGACGCCGUGGGCUUGCUGCGCGGCCACAUCCGAUCCGAGGCGUAGGAGAAGGCGGACGCCGUGGGCCUGCUGCGCUCAUGGGCGUUCAUGGAGGAUGGUACACCGGCCACCGGCGCCGUCCGUGCCGCCGCCAGUUCUCUCUGUUCUCCUCCGUGGUAUCCUUCUCAACCUCCGCUGCUCCUAUCGUGAUUUGGAUGGAAAAUUGGAGGCCGGCCCUGUCCUUCUCCAACACAAAUUGAUGUAGUGCCCGACCCGGAUUUGAUUGGCUGCUAUAAGAAGCAAGGGUCCUCGGCCGGAAUAUCCAUCAGGUUUUGCCCUUCGACCAUAAUCUCCAUCAUCCCGUCGAAAUUGCAAUUUUUGACCCAACAUCCAAUGUCGCCGCCAAGUUCGCCGGAGGAAGAAGCGGCGAGUUCGCCGGAGGAACAAGAACGCCCGUCGAGCUGUGCAAUGUCUCCUGUGGUGGCUACACGAUAGGCCCUUAAGAUGAGUGAUGAACAUCCGUUGAGCCGUCCAAUGUUGCCUGUGGCAACUACACCGGAGCUGUCGUCUCCUUUGACUUCACCGCUAUCGUCUCCGUCGACUUCGCCGCAAGACAAUCUGCCACCGCCUCCGCCGAUUUUUGCCGGAAGACCAUCAGCCGUCGCCUAGACCUACUUUGAGAAAAUAGAUGACAGCACUGUAACUUAAUAUUACAUAGAACAUUGAAGAGGACUUUGAUAACCGACCUUCAAAAAAAGCAAAAAUUUCUGAAUCAAGUGUUCUGGAGCCAUCACCUAUGUCACCAACUAUGUCAACAUGUACUCCAGUUUCUGAGUGUUUUGAAUCGAUUGUGCCAAAAUCAGAUAAUCAGAUAGAUUGUGGUCCAUUGCCAUCACCUCCAUCCCCAUUUAGCUCGACAUUAUCUCAAGAACAUCGGUCGAGCUGUACAAUGGCGCCUGCAGCAGUUACACCAGAGCCUAUCAAGUCGGGUUUCAGACUGAUCGUAAACAGACCUCGGUUUAAGCUGUGAUGCUAAUUUGAUCUGUGUGCUGCACCAUCAUCCAUAUCUUCGAUUUCAAGCAGUUCCAUGGCAAAUCAAAUACAUUUUUUUCUUUGUUUAUGACAGUACAUAUUUGACAGGUUAAAGCAUGUACUAUUGUGCAUAUUGAAGUGUAACAAGCCUUUCCCAGUAGCAAAACUGAAUAUGAUACCCUGUUUUGAAUUUAUGAUUUCGCAAGUAAGAUGACAUACAACUGAGUAUGUUGUUCUAAAUUUGAUAUGAGUGUUCUGCACAAAUAUUUCUCAUGUUCAACUGAUAAUGAGCACCAGCUCUAUUCGGAUGCUGCAUUAAUCAAUGUUUCGAACUGA